RNAcentral lists this ribosomal RNA (1085 nucleotides) under uncultured bacterium. RNAcentral describes it as "bacterial SSU rRNA". It matches the Rfam family "Bacterial small subunit ribosomal RNA", at positions 8 to 1104 of the family's 1533-position model. The record is from RNAcentral.
AGAGUUUGAUCCUGGCUCAGGGUUAACGCUGGCGGCGUGCCUAACACAUGCAAGUCGAACGGUUCUAAGCGCGAGCUUAGGAUAGUGGCGAACGGGUGAGUAAAAGGUAGGAAUCUACCCCUUGGACGGAGAUAGCUACUGGAAACGGUAGGUAAACUUCGAUAAGCCCGAGAGGGGAAAGUGGUGAGACAGCCGAGGGAUGAGCCUACUCUCCAUCAGGUAGUUGGUGAGAUAAAAGCUUACCAAGCCGAUGACGGAUAACCGGUGUGAGAGCAUGAACGGUCACAAGGGCACUGAGAGACGGGCCCUACUCCUACGGGAGGCAGCAGUGGGGAAUCUUGGACAAUGGGCGAAAGCCUGAUCCAGCGACGCCACGUGGAGGAAGAAGUCCUUCGGGAUGUAAACUUCUGAACUAGCCGAAUAAAAGGCCUGUGGACACACAGGAGAAGAAAGUAGGCUAGGAAAAGUCCCGGCUAACUACGUGCCAGCAGCCGCGGUAAGACGUAGGGGGCAAGCGUUACCCGGAAUUACUGGGCGUAAAGGGGGCGUAGGCGGUAAAAGAAGUCAUCUGUGAAAACCUAUUGCUCAACGAUAGGCUAGCGGAUGAAACUGAAUUACUUGAGGGCACCAGAGGUAGACGGAAUUACCCGAGUAGGGGUGAAAUCCGCAGAUACGGGUAGGAACGCCGGUGGAGAAGUCGGUCUACUGGGGUGCACCAGACGCUGAGGCCCGAAAGCUAGGGGAGCAAACCGGAUUAGAUACCCGGGUAGUCCUAGCCGUAAACGAUGCUCACUAGGUGUAGGGAGUGAUAAACUCUCUGUGCUGAAGCGAACGCGCUAAGUGAGCCGCCUGGGGAGUACGUCCGCAAGGAUGAAACUCAAAGGAAUUGACGGGGGUCCGCACAAGCGGUGGAGCAUGUGGUUUAAUUCGAUGGUAACCGAAGAACCUUACCAGGGAUUGACAUGUAACUGAAGGUAGAGAAAUCUACUGGCCUGCUGCAAAGCGGGAGGUUACACAGGUGGUGCACGGCCGUCGUCAGCUCGUGCCGUGAGGUGUUGGGUUAAGUCCCGCAACGAGCGCAACCC